This 424-nucleotide long non-coding RNA is filed under the name Androctonus crassicauda. Lineage: Eukaryota; Metazoa; Arthropoda; Arachnida; Scorpiones; Buthidae. The record is from RNAcentral.
CAAAAAGUAGCCUGUCGCCCAAUUUGAAAUUUUUGUAGCGAGGGUACUUAAAAAAAUCGCCCAAUCUGCAACUUGUAGCCCAAUGUAGCAACUCUGCGGCUGAGCCGGCAUCCACGCCAGACACGUAUUGGAGAGUGAAGGUGCAACGCGAGAAAAAGGAAUGCGGGAAGACAGCGACACACGCACACAGGCAAUGACGUUGAAGGGGUCUGCCCUUGGGGAUUUUUCGCCCUGCAAGAGUGUGGCCGAGUUAUCCGGAGUGCCGGGUGAUCGAGAGCCGAGUUUUCGGGACUCUACUGUAUCUUCAAAAAAUUAUACUAUUAUUACAUUGGAGGCACAGCUACAUUUAUUGCUAUUUAACAUAAAAUUGUAACUUUCUAAUGACAAUUUCUUGAAAUUUAUGGAUUAUCAAAUUAAACUAUAU